GUGACAUCAGAGGCAUAAGCGGUCUGAUCGGUGAACCAGAAAGUGCAGCACACUGUAUCUGCCGAUCAGUAAUCAUGACAUACAGAGGCGUAUGCAAGCAUGGGCAGUCCCUUUUGAAAAACUCUGAACUGCAAAGGAUCCUGCCAGGAGUUCCAGGGCAUUAAUUCAGUCUCUGACCAAUGACCUACUGUUGUCACACCCUCGCAGAGGGCGCCCCA
Pelobates cultripes (western spadefoot toad) is the source of this 218-nucleotide non-coding RNA. The record is from the annotation of a GenBank genome assembly. NCBI's taxonomy places the organism in Eukaryota, Metazoa, Chordata, Amphibia, Anura, Pelobatidae.